AAUUCAAGGUCACACAGUGUUGAGGAUGGAAUCCAGACCUGAUACAGUUAUUGGCCUGCCUUAUCUUGCAGAUAUGUGAGUGAAUUCCACACCACCCAUUUUACAGAUGAAGCCACUGAGAUACAGAGCAACUGACUAAAUAGUCACCACCCCACUCCUGGAUCCUCACAUGACACUUCUCCCAGAGCCGCCCGGUAUGUGACUGUGUGAGGCAUGAGGCGCAGCAGGCUGUGAUACAGACUGAUGGUGAGUCAGCUGUUGGAUAAGACCUCAGCUAGGCAGUGUCAUCUCUUUGGGUAACCAGGAAAACAUGUAGACCAAAUAUGUUGUC
RNAcentral lists this long non-coding RNA (331 nucleotides) under Phocoena sinus (vaquita). RNAcentral describes it as "lncRNA (ENSPSNG00000019564.1)". Lineage: Eukaryota; Metazoa; Chordata; Mammalia; Artiodactyla; Phocoenidae. The record is from RNAcentral.